This 18-nucleotide small nuclear RNA is filed under the name Arabidopsis thaliana (thale cress). RNAcentral describes it as "snRNA_00548". Lineage: Eukaryota; Viridiplantae; Streptophyta; Magnoliopsida; Brassicales; Brassicaceae. The record is from RNAcentral.
CAAACGCUAUGUUAGACU